GGGCGGCUAGCUCAGUUGGUUAGAGCACUUGCUCGACACGCAAGGGGUCGAUGGUUCGAAUCCAUUGUCGCCCA
RNAcentral lists this transfer RNA (74 nucleotides) under Spirochaeta sp. Its description in RNAcentral is "tRNA-Val". It matches the Rfam family "tRNA". Rfam says of the family: Transfer RNA (tRNA) molecules are approximately 80 nucleotides in length. The record is from RNAcentral. Lineage: Bacteria; Pseudomonadati; Spirochaetota; Spirochaetia; Spirochaetales; Spirochaetaceae. RNAcentral also lists the same sequence under 2 other names.